GGAGAGGUGUCCGAGCGGUUUAUGGUACUUGCUUGGAAAGCAAGCGUAGGGUAACACCUACCGGGGGUUCGAAUCCCCCCCUCUCCGCCA
RNAcentral lists this transfer RNA (90 nucleotides) under Leptospira wolffii. RNAcentral describes it as "tRNA-Ser". It matches the Rfam family "tRNA". From Rfam's summary of the family: Transfer RNA (tRNA) molecules are approximately 80 nucleotides in length. Their secondary structure includes four short double-helical elements and three loops (D, anti-codon, and T loops). Further hydrogen bonds mediate the characteristic L-shaped molecular structure. tRNAs have two regions of fundamental functional importance: the anti-codon, which is responsible for specific mRNA codon recognition, and the 3' end, to which the tRNAs corresponding amino acid is attached (by aminoacyl-tRNA synthetases). tRNAs cope with the degeneracy of the genetic code in two manners: having more than one tRNA (with a specific anti-codon) for a particular amino acid; and 'wobble' base-pairing, i.e. permitting non-standard base-pairing at the 3rd anti-codon position. Lineage: Bacteria; Pseudomonadati; Spirochaetota; Leptospiria; Leptospirales; Leptospiraceae. RNAcentral also lists the same sequence under 20 other names. The record is from RNAcentral.